Long non-coding RNA from Ruditapes philippinarum (Manila clam), 513 nucleotides. RefSeq lists it as uncharacterized. The transcript is spliced from 3 exons. Lineage: Eukaryota; Metazoa; Mollusca; Bivalvia; Venerida; Veneridae. The record is from RefSeq and is a predicted model, not a curated record.
AGACAGGAUACAUCAGUUUAAUCUGUCAAAACAAAACGAUAAAAAUCUCUGAUCUAAAAUUUGUUUUCAAAUAUAGAACAAACGGCACGGGUCAUUGUUGUAGGGUUUUUCCCGUUCUCCAGUUAAUUUGCACAUACAAGAUAUUUAAGUGAGAACAACUUAUACAGCAACAAAUUUUGAGAGUAUUCGCAUUGGCUUACCAAACGACAGGGGAAAUUCAGGCCUAUUAUACAAGAUCAAGGCAUUGAGACGUCAACUCUCGUCGACUUAUUGCCAUGGUGAUGAAAAACAAUAAAUUGCAACUAAUUUGUUGUAUUCUAACAUCUCUACAACACGUGUUUGUUCUGAGUGAAGGUCCCCCAUUAGAAGGCAAUGGAUGGCCUAAAAGAUUGUCAUUAGUAAUGCAUCAUGGGAUUGUGGAUUUGAGACAAUGGCAGGAAGAACUAGUUACUGUAGAAAACCAAACUGAGGCUCUUGCUCCAGAGUUAAACACACCUCCUGAUGACGUAAAAU